CGUCCCAUUUCACAGACGUUUACUUCCGGCCUACCCGACCUCCUGAGGACCUGGCCCACGUAGACUGCGAAGGCCGGGUCCUCAGGAGGAUGCAGCCCAUUUGGACACGACUCACAAAAAAUGAUCGAACACGAACAACAUGCUGCUUCAGACACUGAUCCUCCCGGUGGAAGUGCACCUUCUUUCCCUCCUUUGGAAGAUUAUUAAGGUGGAGGACUGGCAUGAGAGGGGUAAGAGGUCCGAGUGAGGCGGUGAUGGUUCCAUGCUGGUGAUGGUCCGUGGUAUCCGGUAACUGUGGCAGGAACAGAAGUGAGCAUGAGCUGUGGAGGAAGAGCUGCAGAGAAAACUGGCGUCCAAAUGAAGACAGUGAGCAAGAAGACGAUGGUCUCCCUGAGGAUGGUGUGAGGAUGAGGAGAGGACAGAUUUCUUACAUUUCAAUUCUUUACAGUUUUUGUCCUUCGUGCUUUUGAACCAUCACACCAGGAAAGCUGAUUCUUUUUGUCUGUUUCUGAUAAUAAGACGUCGUGUUCAGCUGUCUUUAUCAUGCAGUGUAGUAAACAUGUUUCAGUGUGAAUGUUAGAAAGAUGAGAUUUUACUGUGAAGCUUUUUUAUACCAAGGGAAUCAUAAACACUUCAGUGAUGUAAAUAAUUCUCUCAGAAGCUGGAAACUCCAAGCAAAACUCACUGAACCAUAAAUAACUGUAGAUUACAAUAUGAUGAGAAAUGAGGGCUGAAAUGUGAGGAGGUUUCAGACUGUGCAGACUUAUGGACGUAUCAUAGAUUUGGAUUAAAUGUGGUUUAUGAAAAGUUCAUGACUGGUUUGUAGGUUUCCCCUCAUUGGCUGUCUGACCUGCUGACUUACACAGGUCAGCUUCACUG
This is a long non-coding RNA of Oreochromis niloticus (Nile tilapia), 879 nucleotides long. RefSeq lists it as uncharacterized. The transcript has 4 exons. The record is from RefSeq and is a predicted model, not a curated record. NCBI's taxonomy places the organism in Eukaryota, Metazoa, Chordata, Actinopteri, Cichliformes, Cichlidae.